GAUGAACGCUAGCGGCAGGCCUAAUACAUGCAAGCUGAACGGCAAGAUUGGUAGCAAUACUGAUCCUAGAGUAGCGUAAGGGUGCGUAACACGUAUGCAAUCUACCCGCAACAGGAGGAUAGCUCUCCGAAAGGGGAAUUAAGACUCCAUAAUAUCAUUUGAGGGCAUCUGGAGAUGAUUAAACUACAAGGGGUUGCGGAUGAGCAUGCGUCUGAUUAGUUAGUUGGCGGGUAACGGCCCACCAAGACAAUGAUCAGUAGGGGAACUGAGAGGUUGGUCCCCCACACUGGCACUGAGAUAC
This 301-nucleotide ribosomal RNA is filed under the name uncultured bacterium. RNAcentral describes it as "bacterial SSU rRNA". It matches the Rfam family "Bacterial small subunit ribosomal RNA", at positions 28 to 327 of the family's 1533-position model. The record is from RNAcentral.